Molecule: transfer RNA, 73 nt
Filed under: Phrynosoma platyrhinos (Desert horned lizard)
Lineage: Eukaryota; Metazoa; Chordata; Lepidosauria; Squamata; Phrynosomatidae
Description: tRNA-OTHER
Source: RNAcentral
GGCAUAGUGGUUUGAGUGGUUUGAGUAUUGGACUAUGACUGUGGAGACCAGGGUUCAAAUCCCUGCUCAGCCA